Molecule: microRNA precursor, 93 nt
Filed under: Canis lupus familiaris (dog)
Lineage: Eukaryota; Metazoa; Chordata; Mammalia; Carnivora; Canidae
Also listed under: 1 other name
Description: mir-8799 microRNA precursor family
Rfam family: mir-8799 microRNA precursor family
Source: Rfam by way of RNAcentral
GGGGGAGUGCCGGAUCCUGGGCUGUGUCCACUGGUGCCCUGGGCUCCCGGUCUGCACCACUGGAAUCAUGCUCCCAGGGCUGUAUAGCCCCCU